ACAGCCCCGUACACAAAAAUGCACAUGCUGUGAGCUCGAUGAGUAGGGCGGGACACGUGGUAUCCUGUCUGAAUAUGGGGGGACCAUCCUCCAAGGCUAAAUACUCCUGACUGACCGAUAGUGAACCAGUACCGUGAGGGAAAGGCGAAAAGAACCCCGGCGAGGGGAGUGAAAAAGAACCUGAAACCGUGUACGUACAAGCAGUGGGAGCACAGAGCAAUCUGUGUGACUGCGUACCUUUUGUAUAAUGGGUCAGCGACUUAUAUUCUGUAGCAAGGUUAACCGAAUAGGGGAGCCGAAGGGAAACCGAGUCUUAACUGGGCGUUAAGUUGCAGGGUAUAGACCCGAAACCCGGUGAUCUAGCCAUGGGCAGGUUGAAGGUUGGGUAACACUAACUGGAGGACCGAACCGACUAAUGUUGAAAAAUUAGCGGAUGACUUGUGGCUGGGGGUGAAAGGCCAAUCAAACCGGGAGAUAGCUGGUUCUCCCCGAAAGCUAUUUAGGUAGCGCCUCGUGAAUUCAUCUCCGGGGGUAGAGCACUGUUUCGGCAAGGGGGUCAUCCCGACUUACCAACCCGAUGCAAACUGCGAAUACCGGAGAAUGUUAUCACGGGAGACACACGGCGGGUGCUAACGUCCGUCGUGAAGAGGGAAACAACCCAGACCGCCAGCUAAGGUCCCAAAGUCAUGGUUAAGUGGGAAACGAUGUGGGAAGGCCCAGACAGCCAGGAUGUUGGCUUAGAAGCAGCCAUCAUUUAAAGAAAGCGUAAUAGCUCACUGGUCGAGUCGGCCUGCGCGGAAGAUGUAACGGGGCUAAACCAUGCACCGAAGCUGCGGCAGCGACACUGUGUGUUGUUGGGUAGGGGAGCGUUCUGUAAGCCUGUGAAGGUGUGCUGUGAGGCAUGCUGGAGGUAUCAGAAGUGCGAAUGCUGACAUAAGUAACGAUAAAGCGGGUGAAAAGCCCGCUCGCCGGAAGACCAAGGGUUCCUGUCCAACGUUAAUCGGGGCAGGGUGAGUCGACCCCUAAGGCGAGGCCGAAAGGCGUAGUCGAUGGGAAACAGGUUAAUAUUCCUGUACUUGGUGUUACUGCGAAGGGGGGACGGAGAAGGCUAUGUUGGCCGGGCGACGGUUGUCCCGGUUUAAGCGUGUAGGCUGGUUUUCCAGGCAAAUCCGGAAAAUCAAGGCUGAGGCGUGAUGACGAGGCACUACGGUGCUGAAGCAACAAAUGCCCUGCUUCCAGGAAAAGCCUCUAAGCAUCAGGUAACAUCAAAUCGUACCCCAAACCGACACAGGUGGUCAGGUAGAGAAUACCAAGGCGCUUGAGAGAACUCGGGUGAAGGAACUAGGCAAAAUGGUGCCGUAACUUCGGGAGAAGGCACGCUGAUAUGUAGGUGAAGUCCCUCGCGGAUGGAGCUGAAAUCAGUCGAAGAUACCAGCUGGCUGCAACUGUUUAUUAAAAACACAGCACUGUGCAAACACGAAAGUGGACGUAUACGGUGUGACGCCUGCCCGGUGCCGGAAGGUUAAUUGAUGGGGUCAGCGCAAGCGAAGCUCUUGAUCGAAGCCCCGGUAAACGGCGGCCGUAACUAUAACGGUCCUAAGGUAGCGAAAUUCCUUGUCGGGUAAGUUCCGACCUGCACGAAUGGCGUAAUGAUGGCCAGGCUGUCUCCACCCGAGACUCAGUGAAAUUGAACUCGCUGUGAAGAUGCAGUGUACCCGCGGCAAGACGGAAAGACCCCGUGAACCUUUACUAUAGCUUGACACUGAACAUUGAGCCUUGAUGUGUAGGAUAGGUGGGAGGCUUUGAAGUGUGGACGCCAGUCUGCAUGGAGCCGACCUUGAAAUACCACCCUUUAAUGUUUGAUGUUCUAACGUGGACCCGUGAUCCGGGUUGCGGACAGUGUCUGGUGGGUAGUUUGACUGGGGCGGUCUCCUCCUAAAGAGUAACGGAGGAGCACGAAGGUUGGCUAAUCCUGGUCGGACAUCAGGAGGUUAGUGCAAUGGCAUAAGCCAGCUUGACUGCGAGCGUGACGGCGCGAGCAGGUGCGAAAGCAGGUCAUAGUGAUCCGGUGGUUCUGAAUGGAAGGGCCAUCGCUCAACGGAUAAAAGGUACUCCGGGGAUAACAGGCUGAUACCGCCCAAGAGUUCAUAUCGACGGCGGUGUUUGGCACCUCGAUGUCGGCUCAUCACAUCCUGGGGCUGAAGUAGGUCCCAAGGGUAUGGCUGUUCGCCAUUUAAAGUGGUACGCGAGCUGGGUUUAGAACGUCGUGAGACAGUUCGGUCCCUAUCUGCCGUGGGCGCUGGAGAACUGAGGGGGGCUGCUCCUAGUACGAGAGGACCGGAGUGGACGCAUCACUGGUGUUCGGGUUGUCAUGCCAAUGGCACUGCCCGGUAGCUAAAUGCGGAAGAGAUAAGUGCUGAAAGCAUCUAAGCACGAAACUUGCCCCGAGAUGAGUUCUCCCUGACCCUUUAAGGGUCCUGAAGGAACGUUGAAGACGACGACGUUGAUAGGCCGGGUGUGUAAGCGCAGCGAUGCGUUGAGCUAACCGGUACUAAUGAACCGUGAGGCUUAACCUUACAACGCCGAAGGUGUUU
Molecule: ribosomal RNA, 2594 nt
Filed under: Escherichia coli
Lineage: Bacteria; Pseudomonadati; Pseudomonadota; Gammaproteobacteria; Enterobacterales; Enterobacteriaceae
Description: partial 23S ribosomal RNA
Rfam family: Bacterial large subunit ribosomal RNA
Source: RNAcentral